RNAcentral lists this ribosomal RNA (255 nucleotides) under uncultured bacterium. Its description in RNAcentral is "partial 16S ribosomal RNA". It matches the Rfam family "Bacterial small subunit ribosomal RNA", at positions 524 to 776 of the family's 1533-position model. The record is from RNAcentral.
UACGAAGGGGGGCUAGCGUUGCUCGGAAUGACUGGGCGUAAAAGGGCGCGUAGGCGGCGAUCAAGGUCAGAUGUGAAAUUCCUGGGCUUAACCUGGGGGCUGCAUUUGAUACGUGGUGGCUUGAGUGCGGAAGAGGGUCGUGGAAUUCCCAGUGUAGAGGUGAAAUUCGUAGAUAUUCGCAAGAACACCAGUGGCGAAGGCGGCUUACUGGUCCGGUUCUGACGCUGAGGCGCGAAAGCGUGGGGAGCAAACAGG